UACGAAGGGUGCAAGCGUUACUCGGAAUUACUGGGCGUAAAGCGUGCGUAGGUGGUUUGUUAAGUCUGAUGUGAAAGCCCUGGGCUCAACCUGGGAAUUGCAUUGGAUACUGGCAGGCUAGAGUGCGGUAGAGGAUGGCGGAAUUCCCGGUGUAGCAGUGAAAUGCGUAGAGAUCGGGAGGAACACCGAUGGCGAAGGCAGGUCUCUGGGCCAUAACUGACGCUGAGAAGCGAAGGCAUGGGGAGCGAACAGG
This 253-nucleotide ribosomal RNA is filed under the name uncultured bacterium. Its description in RNAcentral is "partial 16S ribosomal RNA". It matches the Rfam family "Bacterial small subunit ribosomal RNA", at positions 524 to 776 of the family's 1533-position model. The record is from RNAcentral.